Molecule: ribosomal RNA, 475 nt
Filed under: Sesamia calamistis
Lineage: Eukaryota; Metazoa; Arthropoda; Insecta; Lepidoptera; Noctuidae
Description: partial 16S large subunit ribosomal RNA
Source: RNAcentral
UGUCUUUUUGAAAAUAAUAUAAAGUCUAAUCUGCCCACUGAUUUAAUAUUAAAGGGCUGCAGUAUAUUGACUGUACAAAGGUAGCAUAAUCAUUAGUCAUUUAAUUGAUGACUUGUAUGAAGGAUUGGAUGAAAUAUAAACUGUCUCUUAAUUAUAUUUAGAAUUUAAUUUUUUAAUUAAAAAGUUAAAAUGAAUUAAAAAGACGAGAAGACCCUAUAGAGUUUUAUAAUUAAAUUAAUUGAGAUUUUUUGUAAGAUUAAAAUUAAAAUUAAUUUAUUUAUUUUGUUGGGGUGACAGAAAAAUAUGUAGAACUUUUUUUAUAAUAUUACAUAAAUAAGUGGUUAAAUGAUCCAAUAUUAUUGAUUAUAAGAAAAAAUUACCUUAGGGAUAACAGCGUAAUUUUUUUUUUUAGUUCAUAUAAAAAAAAAAGUUUGCGACCUCGAUGUUGGAUUAAGAUAAAAUUUAAAUGCAGAAG